This 19-nucleotide microRNA is filed under the name Schistosoma mansoni. RNAcentral describes it as "sma-miR-8422-5p". Lineage: Eukaryota; Metazoa; Platyhelminthes; Trematoda; Strigeidida; Schistosomatidae. The record is from miRBase by way of RNAcentral.
GCAAUUAAAAGUAGCAGUG